RNAcentral lists this ribosomal RNA (1167 nucleotides) under Bacillus sp. (in: firmicutes). Its description in RNAcentral is "bacterial SSU rRNA". It matches the Rfam family "Bacterial small subunit ribosomal RNA", at positions 1 to 1209 of the family's 1533-position model. The record is from RNAcentral. Lineage: Bacteria; Bacillati; Bacillota; Bacilli; Caryophanales; Bacillaceae.
GAAAAAAUCCAGCGGAAGAUGAGGCGGUGCUAUACAUGCAAGUCGAGCGGAGUUUUGAAAAGCUUGCUUUUCAAAACUUAGCGGCGGACGGGUGAGUAACACGUGGGCAACCUGCCCUUGAGACGGGGAUAACUCCGGGAAACCGGAGCUAAUACCGGAUAACACAUAUCUUCGCAUGAGGAUAUGUUAGAAGGUGGCUUUUAGCUACCACUCAAGGAUGGGCCCGCGGCGCAUUAGCUAGUUGGUGAGGUAACGGCUCACCAAGGCGACGAUGCGUAGCCGACCUGAGAGGGUGAUCGGCCACACUGGGACUGAGACACGGCCCAGACUCCUACGGGAGGCAGCAGUAGGGAAUCUUCCGCAAUGGACGAAAGUCUGACGGAGCAACGCCGCGUGAGUGAUGAAGGUUUUCGGAUCGUAAAGCUCUGUUGUUAGGGAAGAACAAGUACCUGUUGAAUAAGCAGGUACCUUGACGGUACCUAACCAGAAAGCCACGGCUAACUACGUGCCAGCAGCCGCGGUAAUACGUAGGUGGCAAGCGUUGUCCGGAAUUAUUGGGCGUAAAGCGCGCGCAGGCGGUUCCUUAAGUCUGAUGUGAAAGCCCACGGCUCAACCGUGGAGGGUCAUUGGAAACUGGGGAACUUGAGUGCAGAAGAGGAGAGCGGAAUUCCACGUGUAGCGGUGAAAUGCGUAGAGAUGUGGAGGAACACCAGUGGCGAAGGCGGCUCUCUGGUCUGUAACUGACGCUGAGGCGCGAAAGCGUGGGGAGCGAACAGGAUUAGAUACCCUGGUAGUCCACGCCGUAAACGAUGAGUGCUAAGUGUUAGAGGGUUUCCGCCCUUUAGUGCUGCAGCAAACGCAUUAAGCACUCCGCCUGGGGAGUACGGUCGCAGACUGAAACUCAAAGGAAUUGACGGGGACCCGCACAAGCGGUGGAGCAUGUGUUUAAUUCGAGCAACGCGAAGAACUUACCAGGUCUGACAUCCUCUGCUACUCUAGAAGAUAAGAGUUCCCUCGGACAGAAGUGACAGGUGGGUGCAUGUUCGUCAGCUCGUGUCUGAGAAUGUGGGUAGUCCCGCAACGAACCACCUUGAUCUUAGUUGCCACAUUGGCACUCUAUGACUGCGUGACACGAGAAUGUAGACUCAAUCAUCAUGCCUUAGACUG